UACAGAGGUCUCAAGCGUUGUUCGGAUUCAUUGGGCGUAAAGGGUGUGUAGGUGGCGCGCUAAGUCGGGUGUGAAAUUUCGGAGCUUAACUCCGAAACUGCAUUCGAUACUGGCGUGCUUGAGGACUGGAGGGGAGACUGGAAUUCAUGGUGUAGCAGUGAAAUGCGUAGAGAUCAUGAGGAAGACCAGUGGCGAAGGCGGGUCUCUGGACAGUUCCUGACACUGAGACACGAAGGCCAGGGGAGCAAACGGG
RNAcentral lists this ribosomal RNA (253 nucleotides) under uncultured bacterium. Its description in RNAcentral is "partial 16S ribosomal RNA". It matches the Rfam family "Bacterial small subunit ribosomal RNA", at positions 524 to 776 of the family's 1533-position model. The record is from RNAcentral.